Molecule: ribosomal RNA, 433 nt
Filed under: uncultured bacterium
Lineage: Bacteria
Description: partial 16S ribosomal RNA
Rfam family: Bacterial small subunit ribosomal RNA
Source: RNAcentral
AACGAACGCUGGCGGCAGGCCUAACACAUGCAAGUCGAGCGAGGACUUCGGGUCUAGCGGCGGACGGGUGAGUAAGGCGUGGGAAUGUGCCCUUCUCUACGGAAUAGCCCUGGGAAACUGGGAGUAAUACCGAAUACGCCCUAUUGGGGGAGGAUUUAUCGGAGAAGUAGGAGCCCUCGUUGGAUUAGGUAGUUGGUGGGGUAAUGGCCUCCCAAGCCGACGAUCCAUAGCUGGUUUGAGAGGAUGAUCACCAACACUGGGACUAGGAAACGGCCCGGACUCCUACGCGAUGGAGGAGUGGCUAAUCUUAGACCAUGGCGGGAAUCCUGAACGACCUCGGCUGCUUGAGUGAUGAAAGCAUUAGGGUUGUAAAGCUCUAUUAGCUGGGAACAUAAUGACGGUACCAGCAGAAGAAGCCACGGCUAACUCCGUG